GCGCCUUGCCAGCCCGCUCAGAAACUUAAAGGAAUUGACGGGGGCCCGCACAAGCGGUGGAGCAUGUGGUUUAAUUCGAUGAUACGCGAGGAACCUUACCUGGGCUCAAAUGUAUGUUGACGUAUUCUGAAAGGGAUACUUCUUCGGACAAUAUACAAGGUGCUGCAUGGUUGUCGUCAGCUCGUGCCGUGAGGUGUCGGGUUAAGUCCCAUAACGAGCGCAACCCCUAUCAUUAGUUGCCAUCAGGUCAAGCUGGGGACUCUAAUGAAACUGCCUACGCAAGUAGUGAGGAAGGUGGGGAUGACGUCAAAUCAGCACGGCCCUUACGUCCAGGGCU
RNAcentral lists this ribosomal RNA (337 nucleotides) under uncultured Sphingobacteriales bacterium. RNAcentral describes it as "bacterial SSU rRNA". It matches the Rfam family "Bacterial small subunit ribosomal RNA", at positions 903 to 1215 of the family's 1533-position model. Lineage: Bacteria; Pseudomonadati; Bacteroidota; Sphingobacteriia; Sphingobacteriales. The record is from RNAcentral.